Eriocheir sinensis (Chinese mitten crab) is the source of this 437-nucleotide long non-coding RNA. RefSeq lists it as uncharacterized. The record is from RefSeq and is a predicted model, not a curated record. Lineage: Eukaryota; Metazoa; Arthropoda; Malacostraca; Decapoda; Varunidae. The transcript has 2 exons.
GCCUAAAUUUGUAAAGGGAAGGAAGGAAAGGAAAUAGGAAAGGUUAGAUAUUUUGGGAGAGAAGAGAAGGAAGAAAGGAAGGAAUGACACGAAACAGAACCUAACCUAAAGCCUAGCCACGGAGGAAUGACAUGCUAUACUUCAUUAAAUAGCCUAUAUUUGUAAAGGGAAGGAAGGAAAGGAAAUUGGAAAGGUUAGAUAUAUAGGGAGAGAAGAGAAGGGGCUAGAAAGGAAGGAAUGACUAAGCUACACAGUGUUAUAUAGCCUGGACUUGCAAGGGAAGGAUGGGAAUGGGUUUGAAAAAGAAUAGAUAUGAAAGUAAAGGAGAGAAAGAAAGGAAAUAAGUCUCAUCUGGCCUAGAAAGGAAGGAAUGACUAAGCUACACAAUGUCAUAAAGUCUGGUCUUGUAAGGAAAUAUGGGAAUCGAUUUGAAAAGG